CGAGAAAGCCCGCAAGGGUGAGUACAGCGGCGCACGGGUGCGUAACACGUGGGUAAUCUGCCCUGGAGCCCGGAAUAACUCCCCGAAAGGGGUGCUAAUGCCGGAUGAGCCUACGGGGUCCUUGGACCCUGAGGGAAAAGGUGGCCUCUGUAUACAAGCUAUCACUUCAGGAUGAGCCCGCGGCCCAUCAGCUCGUUGGCGGGGUAAUGGCCCACCAAGGCUACGACGGGUAGCUGGUCUGAGAGGACGAUCAGCCACACUGGAACUGGGACACGGUCCAGACUCCUACGGGAGGCAGCAGUGGGGAAUCUUGCGCAAUGGGCGAAAGCCUGACGCAGCAACGCCGCGUGUGUGAUGAAGGUCUUCGGAUCGUAAAGCACUGUCGCGAGGGACG
Molecule: ribosomal RNA, 394 nt
Filed under: uncultured Anaeromyxobacter sp.
Lineage: Bacteria; Pseudomonadati; Myxococcota; Myxococcia; Myxococcales; Anaeromyxobacteraceae
Description: bacterial SSU rRNA
Rfam family: Bacterial small subunit ribosomal RNA
Source: RNAcentral